CAGAAAUGUAUUUGAGAUGAAUAGGUAUUCUUCAAACCCUUCAAAGACCUACAGAAAUAUGGCAUUUAAAUGGUUUAGGAUUUAUCGUGGCAGUGAGACACAACUGCUCCUGGCAUACCAAUUAUGUCAGAAAGGAGGAUGGACAUCGAAGAAACUCGUUAUGGAGUUUGCUUUCAGCAUGGCAAGAUUAGCCAUUUGGACAAGAAACUGCUCUUGCCUGGACUGUUUGUUGCUGUAUAAACUGGACAUACAGGACACACAAGAAAGUGACUGCUGAACUUACAAAACAAGACAGUACUAAAGGUUUCCUGUUGAAAUGGAGAAGUGUGCCACACACACUGUGGCCUAUGGGCUGAAGAUGGAUGCCCCAACGUUACAGAGGAACUUUGGGUGACUGUCCAGAUAAAUUUAAACACUUGCCCAAGACCACAUCCAAAGGAGAAAAUGUCCUAAAGUGAAUCCUCAGGCUGAAUGCAUCCUCAGACUGCCUGCCUAGACUGCUGCCUCAGACUGACUACCUAGACUGCUAGACUGUCCUGAGCUCUCUCUGCCCAGCCAUAUCCCUUCCUG
Molecule: long non-coding RNA, 570 nt
Filed under: Cricetulus griseus (Chinese hamster)
Lineage: Eukaryota; Metazoa; Chordata; Mammalia; Rodentia; Cricetidae
Description: lncRNA (ENSCGRG00015036748.1)
Source: RNAcentral